This 407-nucleotide long non-coding RNA is filed under the name Homo sapiens (human). RNAcentral describes it as "non-protein coding LINC02263:23". The record is from RNAcentral. Lineage: Eukaryota; Metazoa; Chordata; Mammalia; Primates; Hominidae.
UGACCUCCUUGGAACAUUCAGACUGGUAAGAGAAAAGAAUUAAACAUCAAAUCUUCCCUCAGGGACUCCAGAUAAGAGCCCAGGCCAAAGGACACCUUGAUUUUGACCUUGUCAGACCUGGAGUUGAAAAACCAGCUGCACCCUUCUAGAAUUCUUACUUACAAAACUGGAGAUGUUACAAGACAAGAUGAUUUCACUGGAAGCUGAGUUUUGCCAGCUUUGGGGAAAUGCUGAUGCAGAACAUCAUUUAUUUAAGGCUGAUACUCAUGGAUAGAAGAGUCAAAGUGCGAAUAUAUGCACCCUUCUAUACGGAUUCUGCAGAAAGAUAUGCUUGGGUCAUGACUCAGACAAUUUGGAGAGAAUUCCCUGAAACAUUCACUGUACAACUCUACUUUCUUGAAUACUUA